Molecule: ribosomal RNA, 456 nt
Filed under: uncultured Alphaproteobacteria bacterium
Lineage: Bacteria; Pseudomonadati; Pseudomonadota; Alphaproteobacteria
Description: bacterial SSU rRNA
Rfam family: Bacterial small subunit ribosomal RNA
Source: RNAcentral
GAGUUUGAUCCUGGCUCAGGAUGAACGCUGGCGGCGUGCUUAACACAUGCAAGUCGAACGGAAGUAGCAAUACUUCAGUGGCGCACGGGUGAGGAACACGUAGCUCAUCUGCCCAGAAGUGCGGGAUAACGGUCCGAAAGGAUUGCUAAUACCGCAUAAGCUCACGGACUGUAGAGGUGUGUGAGAAAAGGCUUCGGUCGCUUUUGGAGGAGGCUGCGGCCCAUCAGGUAGUUGGUGCGGUAACGGCGCACCAAGCCGACGACGGGUAGGGGACCUGAGAGGGUGACCCCCCACACUGGGACUGAGACACGGCCCAGACUCCUACGGGAGGCAGCAGUGAGGAAUAUUGCCCAAUGGGCGCAAGCCUGAGGCAGCGACGCCGCGUGGGUGAAGAAGGCCUUCGGGUCGUAAGCCCUUUCUGUGUGCGAGCAAGGACGGUAGCACAGGAAAAAGUCU